RNAcentral lists this ribosomal RNA (253 nucleotides) under uncultured bacterium. RNAcentral's name for it is "partial 16S ribosomal RNA". It matches the Rfam family "Bacterial small subunit ribosomal RNA", at positions 524 to 776 of the family's 1533-position model. The record is from RNAcentral.
UACGUAGGGUGCAAGCGUUAAUCGGAAUUACUGGGCGUAAAGCGUGCGCAGGCGGUUAUGUAAGACAGGUGUGAAAUCCCCGGGCUUAACCUGGGAACUGCAUUUGUGACUGCAUAGCUAGAGUACGGUAGAGGGGGAUGGAAUUCCGCGUGUAGCAGUGAAAUGCGUAGAUAUGCGGAGGAACACCGAUGGCGAAAGCAAUCCCCUGGACCUGUACUGACGCUCAUGCACGAAAGCGUGGGGAGCAAACAGG